Molecule: ribosomal RNA, 253 nt
Filed under: uncultured bacterium
Lineage: Bacteria
Description: partial 16S ribosomal RNA
Rfam family: Bacterial small subunit ribosomal RNA
Source: RNAcentral
UACGUAGGGCGCAAGCGUUAUCCGGAAUUAUUGGGCGUAAAGAGCUCGUAGGCGGCUUGUCGCGUCUGCCGUGAAAGUCCGGAGCUUAACCCCGGAUCUGCGGUGGGUACGGGCAGACUAGAGUGCUGUAGGGGAGACUGGAAUUCCUGGUGUAGCGGUGAAAUGCGCAGAUAUCAGGAGGAACACCGGUGGCGAAGGCAGGUCUCUGGGCUGUAACUGACGCUCAUGCACGAAAGCGUGGGGAGCGAACAGG